Mesocricetus auratus (golden hamster) is the source of this 1243-nucleotide long non-coding RNA. RefSeq lists it as uncharacterized. The transcript is spliced from 6 exons. The record is from RefSeq and is a predicted model, not a curated record. Lineage: Eukaryota; Metazoa; Chordata; Mammalia; Rodentia; Cricetidae.
CACCUCCUGCCCUUGUGCUGUCUCUCCCGCGGCAGCCGCGUUAGCCCCGAGAGCAGGGAUGCGCCUUGAGAGGCGGCCGGCGUGGCCCCGCACGUCCGCGCUAGCUCGCGCGGCUCCUGGGCCACGCUCUCUGGAGGCGGCGCGGCCGCCAUCUUGGGAGGUCUUCCUGACCGAGUUCCUCACGCCAGGAAAUGGCCAUCGAGACGCUGGAGAGCGAGUCCAAUGGUUUUCUUUGCCUUCUCCCGGCUCCAGGGGUAUAGCCAGACUAGAGGAGGUCGUGUGAGCGUGUUUAAUACCUCAGAGACAGGACUAAUCUGGCGCUCUUCCGCCCCCUUCUAUCCCCACAGUGGGGAGGGCUGGCAGCCAUGUUUCCUAACAAAAUGGCGACACGUGUCGCCGACGAGAAAUUGGGGUGGGUCCGAAAGCUCUAGAACGCGUGUCUGAUGAUUCUCAAUCCUUCCCCAGGUCCCUUCAGCAGGAAAUGGGCAGGCCACUUCGGAGUUUGUUGGCAGAAAUAUACGCCCUCCACCUCCCUUGUCGGGCACGUGAAUAACUAAAACGCAGGCCUAACAUUGAUUUUUUUUUUAAUUGAAUAGCGACUGGCAGAGUAAGACAAACUCAGAGAGAUGAGUGACUGAUUCAAGGUCACUCGAUAUGGCGGAUGGACUCCAUACCCUUCAGAUCUCCUUACUGAUGCACCCUGUUUGUGAAGUGCCUGCUGAGGCCAGAAGAGGAUGUUGAUUUCCCCAGAUCUGUGUCCAACUCUGGAACCCACUAGCUGUGAGACUUGUAUAACCCAGCUGUCUGGGCUUAAGUGCUCUCAUCUAUAAAACAAAAGGCCAACUAACCUCCAAGCUCUUUUCUGAUUUUCCUGACUCACAUUCCAUGUUCUGAGACACCACCUAUGAAGCUACUGAGACAAUAGAAAAAUGAACUGGAAAGUUCCCUAUUUCUCACCCAUGAUUCUUCUCGAAUUCAAGUGAUCACAGGUGACAGUUGGAGACAUGGUCUGGUAACACCAUGCUUCAGAAUGUGACUUGGAGCUAGCCUGCUAGACCUUCCUGUGUCCUUCAAUUCUUCUUGGACUGGAGAAUAGAGGAACAGAAUUCAAUUCCCAGCAUCCAUAACCAGUGGCUCCAAGGAAUUCAACGCCUUUUUCUUAGCCUUCUCAAGUACCCACACAUAUCUGGCUUACAAACAAACACACACACACACAUAAAAGUAAAAGAAGUAUUAAAAACAA